RNAcentral lists this long non-coding RNA (292 nucleotides) under Homo sapiens (human). RNAcentral describes it as "HSALNT0394155". The record is from RNAcentral. Lineage: Eukaryota; Metazoa; Chordata; Mammalia; Primates; Hominidae.
CUCAGCUUAAAUGUUGGGAACAGGCUGGAAGUCUAUUUAAUAAAUAUCCCAUGAUUGCCAACAUCUGAGGAAUGCGGGAUGCUGAGGGGAGUUCACGUCCACCUUUCCAUCCGGGAACGCAGAUUUUAAGCCCAAGCGGUCAAGAAUGAGAGGAAUGAGGGAAUGAGUGGCCUUGGAAUGGAGCCUGGGUUUAGAAUGAAGCUUCCUCCGCUGGGAUCUAUAUUUCAGCCUGGUGAUAUUGGGCACUGAAGACACAGGCUCUACCAGUGUUGUGGGGAAGAAGAGGUUGUAG